This 491-nucleotide ribosomal RNA is filed under the name uncultured bacterium. RNAcentral's name for it is "bacterial SSU rRNA". It matches the Rfam family "Bacterial small subunit ribosomal RNA", at positions 30 to 507 of the family's 1533-position model. The record is from RNAcentral.
UUGAACGCUGGCGGCAGGCCUAACACAUGCAAGUCGAGCGGCAGCGGGAAAGUAGCUUGCUACUUUUGCCGGCGAGCGGCGGACGGGUGAGUAAUGCCUGGGAAAUUGCCCAGUCGAGGGGGAUAACAGUUGGAAACGACUGCUAAUACCGCAUACGCCCUACGGGGGAAAGCAGGGGACCUUCGGGCCUUGCGCGAUUGGAUAUGCCCAGGUGGGAUUAGCUUGUUGGUGAGGUAAUGGCUCACCAAGGCGACGAUCCCUAGCUGGUCUGAGAGGAUGAUCAGCCACACUGGAACUGAGACACGGUCCAGACUCCUACGGGAGGCAGCAGUGGGGAAUAUUGCACAAUGGGGGAAACCCUGAUGCAGCCAUGCCGCGUGUGUGAAGAAGGCCUUCGGGUUGUAAAGCACUUUCAGCGAGGAGGAAAGGUUGAUGCCUAAUACGCAUCAGCUGUGACGUUACUCGCAGAAGAAGCACCGGCUAACUCCGUG